CAAAAUGAAGCACUGUGUUCUUUCUCAUGGGCUUGAAGGUAGCUCAUCAGAAUUCUGUGUUAAAACUAAAAUCCUUCCCAAUGCUGCAAGGAGGGGUCAUCACUGCUUUCACCAUCUUUUACUGGCUAUUACAGUAAGCGGCCUCUCCUGGGUUCAGUACAAAAAGACCCCUAAGUGGCACCCAAGACAAUUGCACUACAGUAAAAAACAUCACUUGUUUUAGCAGGUAUAAAGUAGCCUUCAGUAUAGCAUUGCUCAGAUAAUGUUUAAAAUAGGAUCGAAAAUGUGUUGGUGCUGAGUGUGAGAUUAAAAAACAAUGACACAGGUUAACAGAAAAAGUGAUAAGAUAAAGACAGACUCCCUCAUGUCCUGUGAGCUAUGUGGCGAUAAAUUGGUAGAAAUAAUUUACUCAAAAUAUACUUUCACAUUUGAAGUAUAUCAAUAUAAAAGUCAAGAAGUGUAAAAAUGGGUGCUUACAGAAAAAUUCAGAGAAAGUCCAUACAAAUCUAUAGUAAUUGAAAAAUAGGAUGUUAGAAAAGGUUGCUAAUCAAAGUAGUAUUGAAUUUGCAAAAAUUGGAAAGUUUCAAACUGUCUGAGCAAAGCUGUAUUAGAGGUAGGUGCUGUGGGAGCUGAACAGGAGGUUGCGGCACAGUGCUGGCAUCGAGAAGAGCUGUGCUUCGCUUGCUGUGGCAUCCUGGAGUAAGGAGACUCAGCAGCAGGCUGAAUAAACUCAACCAGUGACACUGACAUGAAAUGCUGCUCCAGUGCUUUCCCAAGAUACCUUUGAUUCAAAUGUAGGCUCUACUAAGAAUACUGCACCAGGGCCCACCCUUCCUGCCUGUUGACCUCCUGCUCCGGCUGUAUGAAUCAAUCCCAGGUAUUUAUCCAAAGGAAUGAAAUCAGGAUCCCAAAGCGAUGUCUGCAUUCCCGUGUGCUCUGCAGCAUGAUUCACAACAGCCAAGAUAUGGAAACCACCUAAAUGUCUAUCCACAGAUGAACAAAGAAAAUGUGGAAUAUGCUUACAAUGGAAUUUCAUUCAACCUUAAAAAAGAAUGAAAUAAUGCAAUAUGUGAUAGCAUGGAUGAACACUGGGAAACACUGUGCUAAGUGACAUGAGCCAGUCACAGGAGGAUGGAUGUUGCAUGAUUACACCUAUAUGAGUCACUGAAAUAGUCCACUUCAUAGAAUGGAAGAGUGGAAUGGUGGUUGCCAGGGGCUGGGGGGAGGGGGAUAUGAGGAGUUGUUAAUCAAUAGGCAUAAAAAUAAGCAUUUUAGUAAAGCAAGAUGGAUAAGCUCUAGAGAUCUACAUCAUUGUACCUGUAGUCAAAAUACUGGAUUGACUAUACACUUACCAUUUUAAAAGGGUAGAUCUCGUGUUGUGUUCUUACUACAAUAAAAUAAAGUAAAAAUAUAAAAUCCUGAAAUUGA
Long non-coding RNA from Galeopterus variegatus (Sunda flying lemur), 1428 nucleotides. RefSeq lists it as uncharacterized. The transcript is spliced from 2 exons. The record is from RefSeq and is a predicted model, not a curated record. NCBI's taxonomy places the organism in Eukaryota, Metazoa, Chordata, Mammalia, Dermoptera, Cynocephalidae.